This 304-nucleotide unclassified non-coding RNA is filed under the name plant metagenome. Its description in RNAcentral is "partial contains 5.8S ribosomal RNA, internal transcribed spacer 2, and large subunit ribosomal RNA". The stretch from base 1 to 105 matches the Rfam family "5.8S ribosomal RNA", at positions 50 to 154 of the family's 154-position model. The record is from RNAcentral.
GAAAUGCGAUAAGUAGUGUGAAUUGCAGAAUUCAGUGAAUCAUCGAAUCUUUGAACGCACAUUGCGCCCCUUGGUAUUCCAUGGGGCAUGCCUGUUCGAGCGUCAUUUGUACCUUCAAGCUUUGCUUGGUGUUGGGUGUUUGUCUCGCCUCUGCGUGUAGACCCGCCUCAAAACAAUUGGCAGCCGGCGUAUUGAUUUCGGAGCGCAGUACAUCUCGCGCUUUGCACUCAUAACGACGACGUCCAAAAGUACAUUUUUACACUCUUGACCUCGGAUCAGGUAGGGAUACCCGCUGAACUUAAGC